UACAGAGGGGGCAAGCGUUGUUCGGAAUUACUGGGCGUAAAGGGCGCGUAGGCGGCCUGUUAAGUCGAACGUGAAAUCCCCGGGCUCAACCCGGGAACUGCGUCCGAUACUGGCAGGCUUGAAUUCGGGAGAGGGAUGUGGAAUUCCAGGUGUAGCGGUGGAAUGCGUAGAUAUCUGGAGGAACACCGGUGGCGAAGGCGGCAUCCUGGACCGAUAUUGACGCUGAUGCGCGAAAGCCAGGGGAGCAAACGGG
RNAcentral lists this ribosomal RNA (253 nucleotides) under uncultured bacterium. RNAcentral describes it as "partial 16S ribosomal RNA". It matches the Rfam family "Bacterial small subunit ribosomal RNA", at positions 524 to 776 of the family's 1533-position model. The record is from RNAcentral.